CAGAAAAUGUACCCUGGCAGCAAAUGGGUGAAAAGGCUGGAGGAGAAAGUCAUCGCUCCGUUAUUGGCCCUUGGACUCCCCUGGCAUCGCAUGUACAGCAUGAAGUUUUCAGCAAUGAAGUUUUCCAGAACGAGAACCAAGCCCUGAGGGAGGAGAACCAAGCCCUGAGGGAGGAGAACCAAGCCCUGAGGGAGGAGAACCAAGCCCUGAGGGAGGGGAGCCAUGCACGAGCAGCUUCGGGUGACAGCGGCUCGCUUCAAGAGCAGGUGAAGCUAUUUGGGACAACGCUGAAGAUGUUUGCUCGCACUGGGCAAUCAGGUGCAGAUCAGACCCUAGUGCUGCGACGUCUUGGAGAGUUUGGCGAUGUUGUGCGUAGCAUGGAAAACAAAAUGGACACUAUGCUGCAACAUUUCAGUGCCAAUGUGUCUGUUGGAGAGCUAUCCCUGCCAGGGGAUGUUACUCCCCCUAGACACCCAGGAAGAUUUGGUGUUUCUUGACAGCAUUUUGAGGGAGGAUAAAGAGCUCCAGGAACGAUUUGUGUGUUGCUUUCGUUUAUAAGGCCGUAGGGUAAUCUAAAAAGUCAAAUUAAGUUUGUACACUGUAUAUUCUACAGUCUAAAUCCACAGCCUGUCACAUUUUAUAUUUAUGUAUGAGAAGCUUGCGAGAAAUGUAAUUUAACACAUUUUCAGCUUCGGUUUUUGGCUAUCAAAUGUGGGAGGGACCUGAAGACAACAGUGUGGAGAAUGCUUCAGAGUAUUUUCUCUAAUAACCUUG
Esox lucius (northern pike) is the source of this 774-nucleotide long non-coding RNA. The record is from Ensembl. NCBI's taxonomy places the organism in Eukaryota, Metazoa, Chordata, Actinopteri, Esociformes, Esocidae.